Molecule: long non-coding RNA, 363 nt
Filed under: Homo sapiens (human)
Lineage: Eukaryota; Metazoa; Chordata; Mammalia; Primates; Hominidae
Description: HSALNT0040605
Source: RNAcentral
AAAUGGAGAAGGUGAAGCAAUAUUGUUCCAUUAACUCCAAGAAAGGUCAAGAGGUUGUCACCUUGGUGACCAUCCCCUAGGUGGCAAGGUGUUGGGGUGCUAGGAAGAAGGUGGAGGCUGACCAAUUCCCUCAUCUGACAGGUUGUGUGAACAUAAGGAUUGGCUCUCAAGAUGAAGCAGCCAUUUGAAGCUUCCAAAGACCACUCGAGCAUGACCAUUCAUUAAGAAUUUCAAUUUUGACAGAAGCAGAUGUAACAGGUUUCUUUUUAUCUCUGUUGUUCAUAAAAAAAAACUGCCUAAAGAAGGGUGAAUCUUCUCUGUUAGCCCCUUAACGGGAUAAGACAUUCGAAUUAAGAAAAUGAA